RNAcentral lists this ribosomal RNA (445 nucleotides) under uncultured bacterium. Its description in RNAcentral is "partial 16S ribosomal RNA". It matches the Rfam family "Bacterial small subunit ribosomal RNA", at positions 354 to 796 of the family's 1533-position model. The record is from RNAcentral.
GUGAGGAAUAUUGCGCAAUGGAGGCAACUCUGACGCAGCCAUGCCGCGUGCAGGAAGAAGGCGCUACGCGUUGUAAACUGCUUUUAACCGGGAAGAAACCCCAGGACGUGUCCUGGGUUGACGGUACCGGAGGAAUAAGCACCGGCUAACUUCGUGCCAGCAGCCGCGGUAAUACGAAGGGUGCAAGCGUUAUCCGGAUUCAUUGGGUUUAAAGGGUGCGUAGGCGGAGCGUUAAGUCAGUGGUGACAUCCUGCAGCUUAACUGUAGACUUGCCAUUGAUACUGGCGCUCUUGAGUGCGCUUGAAGUGGGCGGAAUGUGCCGUGUAGCGGUGAAAUGCUUAGAUAUGGCACAGAACACCAAUUGCGAAGGCAGCUCACUAAGGCGAUACUGACGCUGAGGCACGAAAGCGUGGGGAUCGAACAGGAUUAGAUACCCGUGUAGUCC